Molecule: long non-coding RNA, 1909 nt
Organism: Pipistrellus kuhlii (Kuhl's pipistrelle)
Lineage: Eukaryota; Metazoa; Chordata; Mammalia; Chiroptera; Vespertilionidae
Exons: 2
Source: RefSeq, a predicted model, not a curated record
AAUAAUGUACUUUCAUCAGCUUACUAAGUGGAUAACUGGGUACCAAAGAAAAAAUGACAACGAAAUCUGUCAAUUUAAAAAAAGCCAUUUAACAAAAGACCAGUUUAUAUAUUUCUUUGAAUUAUGUCAUCAAAAUUUAAACAUACAAAUCACAUUCCCAAGCCCAAAAGAAUCUUUCUAAACAAAUAAAAUACAGACAUAUAGACAAGUUCAGAACCCAAAAUGAUUGUAAAACGUUGUUUAAAUCACAGUAAAUGAUAGCUCAGAAGAAAUAAAGCGAAAGCAUGAUGGUUCCAUCCGACUGUCCAGGUCGGAGGAGCGCAAUGCCGGAGGGCUGGGUGAUUAAGCUGGUUCUUCGCGCCUCUUAACCCCUUUUCCCACCCCCCACCCCCCACCCCCCCCCCAGUGCAGGGCACGCACCCGAACAGCCUGGCAGCCCGUCAGGCUGCCACCAGUGUUCGCACAGGGCACCCACCCUCCCAUGCCGCCAGGUAAGGGUUCCUGAGCAAAUGCUGAAACGGCAGCAGGCGGGUUAGUAUCCUUAAAACACCCUCCUCCUCCCAAUGCCCACAGCUGGGAAUGACAGGCACAGCCUCCGGGAUGUCAGGGAUUCUGGGAAGCAAGGCACAGGCCCAGGUUGUGAUGAAGGCGCUCUGGCUGUGGUCCUUAGAGACUCUGAAUGUGCUACACAUCCCACCGACUGUUCAAGUGACCUUCCACACAGCUAACUGGCUCUGAAACCUUCCCAGACAUACAGCACACAUGCACAUGUGAUUACAUAUGGUAACGAUGAGAGUGAGCAAUGCGGAACCCUGUUUUUAAAAGAAACUCAGCUGAAUGACUAUAGGACGCAUUUUAUAAGUCUAAUAAUUUGGGAAGAGGAAAAGCGUGCCAAUUCUUAAGAACAGUCAGCAUUAACUAUGUCUACUGAGCACAGUUUCCUUUCAAUGUCUCCUUACAACCUAGUUUAUGGAUCAAACCACCCCUCCUACGAAGGGUGGCACUCAAUGUACAUGGAUGUAAACGUAGAUUCUGCAUCCGUACCACAUGCUCCUCCAUGAGACAGCUCCACCACCGCCCGAACUUCUCACAGGGCUGAGCCCAUCUCGGCGAGGAGACAUCCUCAUGCGGCAUUUCAGACUUUUGUUCCCAAAUACCAUGCUCUUAAUUUUUAAUAGAACUACCAACUGGCACUUUCCUCCCAUGAAUUAGCAUAUUCUUUAUAAUGAACCAAUUAGUGGAGAGAAGAGUAAAUAACAUUUAGCAAAGUCCAUGAGGGUGACUUUUUAGUUUUUAUACGAUUAGAACAGGAAACUUUAAAAAUAUAUUAAGUCUGAUGAAAAGCAUAAAGUAAAAUAAUUCUACUCUCUGGUAAUCCUGGCGUCAAUAAAUAAACCCACAUCCAACUUCAGGAGGAUUUGCCCAGCACUCCCCUCAUCUCCUCCGCCCGGUCUCUCCCUGUGCCGCCGGGUAACUCACUCCUGCACUUUGCCGCUCCACGGUGGAGCUGAGCAAACGGGAGCCAGCACCUGGCUUCCUGCCUCCUGGCUUCCCGGUGCUCAGGGCCCCGGAGACUCAGAGCCCCCGGGACGGGUGUGAGCGCCUGGGAAGCGCUGAGUGGCCUUGGUGUAAGUCAGAGCGCCAUUUAUAGGUGAUACCAUGGCAACCUGGAAUGUCUCCAAGGAAAGCUGUUUUGGUCUCAGUUCCUUGAUGUCAGACCUACUUUGGUGGUUGUUUUUGACAACAGUUGUAGAGUUUACAUAUCCAUGAGUAAAAUACUUCUUAAAAACACCCUAAUGUGUACAGUUCAUGCACUGAUAGUUCAAAAGUCUCCAAAUGGAGAUACUAGACAAGAAUUAUUUUAUUGUAAAUUAAUAAGUGAGUAUUUACUCCCUUUAAAUCACAUAUU